This 70-nucleotide ribosomal RNA is filed under the name Megastigmus synophri. RNAcentral's name for it is "partial 5.8S ribosomal RNA". Lineage: Eukaryota; Metazoa; Arthropoda; Insecta; Hymenoptera; Megastigmidae. The record is from RNAcentral.
AACAUCGACAUUUCGAACGCACAUUGCGGUCCACGGAUAACGAUUCCCGGACCACGCCUGGCUGAGGGUC